AUCAUUUGAAUGCUGCUUAUUAAUCACAUGUGAUUGAUAUAAUAAUUAGCAUAAUUCUACUUGUAUCCCCCCCAUAAAACAUUUAAAAACAAGUUAAAACAUUGAUUAAGGGGUAUGAACUCACCUGUUGUGGGUGAUACGGAUGAACUGAAGAGGUAGGACUGCUAGGUGUCAAGUGAAGACUUUAGACACACACAAUGAUCCUAAUUACAUAUGAAGACAUAUGUAUAUAAAUAAUUAGUGAUUUAAAACACUAAUUAACCAUGUAUAAAUAUCCUAAUGUGUAGAAAACACUUUGGUCAAGUGUUAGGAGGCUAUCGGGUUGCAACAAGAGAGUGCAAGACCUCAUACGGGAGUUUAUGGUCUAAAGACCAUGUAUGUUGGGGUUUACGGCCCAAGGGAGUAAACUCCUGGCCGUAAACUCUCUAUUGGGGCACUAAAUGAAGCUCAAAGCUAUUACAACUUAUGUGGUUAAGUGCUUCUAGGCUUAAACAAGUGUUUCGGUGGGUUUAAGACCUUAAAAUGGCCUUGCUCAAUGUUCACGGCCCAGGGACCAUAUCCCAUGGAGAUUACGGUCGUAAUCUCCCUUGGGAGGGUGUUCGUGGUGUUUUCAAGUCCCUAAAUCAACUAGGAACUAGACUAUGCUAGUGUACAAGGCUUUAGAAGAGUUUAUAACACCAUUUGGCACUAUUGUUUGGAGUUCACGGCCAUGGAACUUCUUGGGCCCUGAACACCUUACUCUUGGUGUUCUAAGGGUGUUUGCUAGUCCUAAACUCAUUAGGCUACAUGUCUAAAUUAGUCUCUUGGCUUAAGGAAGGCUUUUAGGGUGUUUUGGCACCUAAAAAUGGAGUUCACGGCCCAAGAACAUCCUUGGCCGUGAACUCACUUUCAACCCUUAAUUCUUAAUGUUUUGGAUGUCUAAACUAGCUAUGGGUAGUCUCAAGGUUCAUUUCCAAGGUUUGGAGGGACAUUGAGCACACUUUGGCCCUUAUAACAGAGCUUACUCUCCAAGUGUUCUUGGGCGGUGAACUCUCAAAUCUUGGGGUUUUGAUCCGCUUUUGAAGUUAUUAGGCACAAUCUAAGCUAUAUAAUACAACUAGAUAGAAGUACUCACGAUUUGGGAUGAAAACCCGAAGAUCCAUGAGAGAUAAUUUGCCUUUUCUCUAGUUGGAAAUGUAACUAAUGAAUGAAUAUGGUUCAGAUUUCUAUAUAUAGUCCUGGGAUUUUUGGCAGAAAAUAUUUUAUUCCCGGAAUGAACUCUAAUAUCAUAGCGUUUUGGAAUCACAGGGUUGCACAAAACCCUAGUGCAUCCAUUCUCCUGAUAUCUCCUUAAGUGUUAAUUCUGAAAUACUCAAACUUAUACCUAUAGUCUGGAAUUUCACUGUAACUGUUCUAACUUCUAUUGACUUGAUAUGGUUUGUUCAGAAUGGAAAUUUCGGGUUGUCUCAUCAUCCCCCUGUUAAAGGGAAUUUCGUCCCGAAAUUAGAAUUUAGGCAAGGAAGUAUGUACGAAUGAUCGAAUCAUGAGGUGGGGACUUCCUAAUCGAUUUGGUUCUCGCGCUCCUAAGUGAAAUCGGGUCCUCGGUUGGUAUCCCAACGAACCUUCACUAACGGGCGACUGUGUUGCUUCGUCCGCUUGACCUCUAUGCCUAGGGUCACUACGGUUCUAAUACGAAUGCGAGGAUCUCGUUAAUCUUGAUCUCGUCGAGUAGGCUUACGAGAGUCCUAACGGAAAGGUAUGGUUUCAAGAUCGAGAGGCGAAGAGUAAAACGUAUGCAAUUGAGUUCGCAGAGUAGGUUUAGUUUGCGAGGUACAGGACCGAUUCGGGUAAGAAUCUCGGAGGUCCUAACUAUAUUGGAUUUAGCUUUCCAUGCUUUACGAAGCGUAUUAAGCCAUUCCCAGAGUGAGACUUCCUAAAGAACUUGGUCUCUCACUUGGAAUUCCAAAGGUUCUUUCUCUUGCUAAACUUCCCAGUCAAGGGCCACCCCUUGCUGGUCAAAGUCGAAAGGGUUUCUGUGAUUUGUGAGGAGUUAUGGAUGAACUAUGAUAGUAGGUCUGUAAGACCUAGAAUUUGGUGAAUUUCUGUCGGCGUCUUCGGUGUCGACCAAUUCCCAAUGGUUUCGGAUAAAUUGCCAGAGUACUCAAAAAUUCCCACAUCACUAAUAGUGUGUCUUAGGAACUUUUGAGUCUUCAAUUCCAAAACUCGAGUUCAGAGAACUUUGCAAAAUGUAUAUCCGAGGGUAAUGUUUCCACGGGUUCCUUCUUGCUACGAGGGUAGAUAAGUAAGUCAUCACAUGGAGAAAUGACGAAGUGAUCCAAGUAAGAAAGACGGAUCCUAUUCAUUAAACUCAGAAUUACUAUGGGCGUAUUGGUCCUACCCGAGGGGUAUCACUACGGACUCAUAGUGUCCGCAUCGAGUUCGGAAGGUAGUCUCUCGGACAUCCUUUCCUAACACUCAAACUGGCGAUAUUCAGAUCUCAGGUCCAUUCCUGAAAGUAAUUCCUUCCUUUUGUUUGCUCAACCGCUUCAUCUAUGCGAGGCAGAGACAACGAUUUCUAAUGGAAAAAUCUUGACGGAGUCCUCGAUAUCUGAGGUACAUACAAUGCAAUUCGUCGACCUCUGGAAGAAUAAGACCAGAGUUCUCCAGGGUGAGAAGACUAGUCUUCUAAUUCUAUUUCUGUGCAGUUCGCUAAGUUGUCCGGGCUGUUCUGGUGUCUCCGUAGGUGUUUAGGCUAUAGGGCGAUCUGUUUACAGGAGUCAUACUGGGUUCUAAGUUUGUUCACAUGAUGAUGCGAUUACUCGUAGACUUAGGCAGUUCUCCAUCCUGAAGUUCAUAUUAGAAUCCAUACAUGGUUUCACCAUCACAAUCUCGUGUAUACAAGUCGUAUAUAAUUAAGAUUGAAAAGGUAGUCGAAUAAAUGAUUCUUGUUUAAGCUCACAUCCCAUCAAGGAAAAGAAGUUAAAGAGGAUUCAUCAAUUCUAAACUUGUAGAACCUUGAUUAUAUAUCACUCUUAUGUAUACAUUCCUCAGUGAUAGAUCAACCGUAUGAAUCCUUGGAUUGAACAUGACGUACUGGAUGAGUGGUACUUCGGGGAUUUCUUCAGAAAGAAAGAACUAUGAGGUACUCCAUGCAUGAGUACUUCGGUGUUCUGAAAUGACAGCUUUGCUAAAAUGACGUUUACUGGUAAAGAGAUGUACUUAAGAAGCUGGUAUGGUGUGGAUCAAAUUGAAUCUAGUUGUAUGAAAAUGUCGGAAUAAUACGGAAACUUAAAGACAUUAGAUUUGAACAUAAGGCAUUUACAGACAAAACACAACCGUGCAACCAUCAAUAGAGUUACAGUAUUUUAGAACACUACAAGAUCAUUGCUGCGAAUAAGGUAUACUACAAAAGACAAGUAUAUGCAGCACGAGCAUUCCUAUACAGACAGGAUCUCGCAAAAGGUAAGACUCUUGUUGCACUAGUUUUGGAUGGUUAUAAGUAUGUUACAACGAAACGCUUAAAUUACAUUAAUGCGGUCCUGGAGUAGGCUCUCCUGCAGCUGUGAUCCUGAGAAUCUUCCCGUCUGCGCCAGAGUUCUGCGCUAUCGGGCAAUCCUUCUUGAGGUGUCCAACUUCACCGCCUUGGUGACAUAUCUGGACUACACCAACAUCAGUGGUGGAAGUGAAGUGUCGAGUAAGAGAUAUGGGGAUACUGUUGCUUUCAUUGAUAUUCUCUUUUGGACAAUUUCUGUAAUAGUGCCCUGCCUCACCACAACUAUAGCAAACAAGGCUUGCUCCAGUGGUGGAGGUAGUUCUAUAGAAACGAGCAAUGUGCCCCAUCUUGUUGAAAUUAUUGCAUUGCCAGGCUCGGCAAAUUCCGUUGUGGUGGUAGUUGCACCGGUCGCACUUCGGGAGUGUCCCUUUAUAUGGUCUACUCGGUAUUGGGAUGGUAGAGGUUUCCACUUGUGGUUGUUGCAUGGAAAUUCUCUGAAAUCGCUUGCGUUCAACUUGGGCUUGACGUUUUCAUUUCUUGAACUCUGAGCUGUUGUUUUAAGCGCUGGCGACUGUUACUAUUUGUUUAUUCCUCGGAUCGUUAACACGAUCGGGGUUGUCAACUCCUUUUUCAGUCUUGGUUGCGUUAACAGUGCAGCGAUUUGCAAGGACAGCUGUCAUGGCAGCCAUCACGGCAGCUGUAACAGUGGCUUGAAAAGUAGCGGCGUCCAUAGGGAAAGUAGAAGUUUUGUUGUCCGAUUGGUUGCUUCCUGAUGACGACAUGAUUCUGUAACACGAAAGAUAAGGAUUUUGUGAGUGAUUCUGGUUGACCCUAGAUGUACUUAGAUUGUUCAAGUAAAGGGGUAAGACUAUGCUCUCGAAAGUUUGACCUACAUCCCUAUGAUGCAGUCCUAGCACGGAAUGGAAGUGAGUUUCUAGAAUGGUCUCAAGAUGUUUUUCGCUCAAGCCGAUGUAUCGUUGGUUGGUGAAUAACAUGAUCCAACCACUGAAAGAGACUUGGAAAUGUCUCCGGAGCUAGAUUACUAUAGUCCAAUGACUGGACUAAAGCAGGUUUCAGAUAGACUCCAAUGAAAGUAUGAUGAGAGUACUUGAAUAAAGAAGGACACGAUAGUUAGCCGACUGUCAAAAUCUUUGAUAUUCAUGAUGUAAAAGUUCGGGAAAAUGACCUUGCAAAAGGUCUUACAUCAUAUCUAGAGAAGAUAGUUCUUGACAGCAUAAAGACCUAACCAAUAGUACUUAUAGUACAAGAUAGUUUCAUAGAAAAUGCCACUUCGGUCAGAGACAAAAAAACGAUUACUUUCUAACAAGGAAAUGAAGUAAAGCAUCUACUACUGGCGACGGUCAUCCUUCUGGUGAACUCUCAGUUCAGCCAGUUGACGUUCAACAUCAAGUAGGUGUCUUUUGUACACCCUUUGGCGUACGCAGAGCUCUAUGACUUCGGCUCGUGAUUCAGCCAGGGCUUGCAGUAGGGUUUCCUGGUUUCUCUCUGAUCUCUCCCGAGCANGAGCAUCUUCUAGACGAAUGAUGCGGAUGGUAUGCAUUCUCGCAUCGGCGACAACUUCGGUGAUUUGAUGUAGGGCUGUCCUGCCUUGAAUCUCAUUCCGGGCCACUCUGCGGACCAAGAUAGGCAAGAUUCUGUGUGCUGAGCCCCCAUUCCUCAAGUCGUAAAAGCUUCGGUCACCAUUAAAUGGUAUGGGCUGAACUUGUCCUUGGCUCCAUGUUUCCAAGCAUUCAACCCACUCAGGCGUCGGGCCAUGAAAAGUCGGACGAGGGUUAGGAAUUGGAAAUGAAGCUACUUGGGGUAGGUUCUCAACCUCUGGUUCGGAGUUAGAAUCGUUCGAAAGGUUUUCAUCAUGGUGAUCAUUCACAGGUAUAGGAUGAUCAUUCUCUGGUUCUUCUUCAAACCAUCCAGCAAUGACCUCAUUCGGAAGGUACUAGUUGUCGUGGGGAUGGAGUCUAGCCAUGUUAUCUACACGAGAAUUAGGGUAAGAAAAUAAUUAUUAGACGAACUAUCUAGAUAAUUAUUUAGAAAAUCUUCAUUAGUUACAUCGCUAUUUGUGAAGUGCAUACUAGUUGUAGGUAAUCGAAAUAGGAUAGGCCUUCGAAUAUGUGACUUUAACUCCAAAUUCACACAGAAUAGGGGUAAAGUAAAAUUUUUACAGAUUCUAAGUCUAUAACAUCCUAAUUACAUAUAUCCUUAGUGUAUCCACUUAGCAACUAUCAACUUAGUAAUGAAAAUCUCGUUUUAAUUCUUAAGUAUAAAGUACUUAUAGUAACACCAAAUAUCCCUAUAGUAUUUUAAGUUUAACGUUAUGUUCUACUGUUCUCCUUGUGGUAGGGUUGGUAAGAUUUUAGACUUGUUACAACCACACAACUACACUUAGCCACAUGCUAGUCAACCCUCGGGUAAUAUAGUUGAUCAAGCUAUAUCUUCCCAGUUUUGACUAUAUGUCUCUAAUUCCACCUGUGUUGCCCAAUAAUCGUUAUUCUUUUGUACUGUCCUAGUGACACUGAUUUUAGUAUGAAUGCAGGUACGUAUACCUAAUUAAAUAUUUUAUUAUUUAAAGUAUAAACUCUUGGUCAGGGUAUUUUUAAUCCCUAUGUAUUUAUAGUUAGUAUAUCUUUUAUGGGUUGAUAUACUUAAUUCACUAUAAACAAUGCUCUGAUAACAAUCUGUCACACCCCAAAACCAAGAACGGCGGAAACGUUCUGGGGCGGAGGACGUCAUGUACAGUAUCACAACAAUGAAAAGUAGUAAACAAGCAACAACAUCAUCCAUUGCAUUAAUAAUAUAAUUUUAAUACAAGUGUUCUGUCAAAUUAUAAUAGACACUAAAGAAUAAAUCAAAAUGAAAGAUGCGUCUUGAACGAGCACCAUCUUCCCUGAACCUUGCAUCGGUACCUGUCUAUGGUUGACCGGAGGAUACAAGUUAUUUUGAAAGAGAGUAUCAACUUUAAAGCUAGUGAGAUCAUAAGUAUAUUAGUGUCUUAAUUUGUAUGUAAGUAUUUGUAUGUAUAUGACUUGUAUGUAUUGAGAAUGUAUAUGAACUUAAAGUAUAAAAAUGUAUAUGAAUUGUAAGUAUAAAAAUGUAUAUGAAUUUAAGUAUAAAAAUGUUUUGUAUGAUCCUAGGAAGCCCUAUGUUUCCUACUAAUCGUAUCCUUCUACCAAGGCGUCUAGUGUCUAUGUGUAUGGCUCUUGUAAGAGAGUGUAUUUUACUAAAUCUGACUAUCAUUAACCAAAAACAUAGUUUCUACAUUACCGUGCGUCGUGUGAAUGUUCACAAAGUGAAUGUAAUGGGAAAUGAAAUACUACUAUGGUGUAGUGUCGAACUACAACCGUACUAAUUACCUAAAGUCUAGGGUAAUUCUUCUAAGUACUGUAGUAUUUGUAAUAAAUAACUACUUCUAUACUCAAUUGCCUUAUUUGAGGGAUAAGGUAUAAUGUGAUGGCUAGAUCCCAGGCUAUACGCUCCCCUGUCAAAGGGAUUUUGAGACCUUUAGACGCCCAUGCAUAUAUGCACUACAUGUCACAUCCAUAUUAGUAUGAUCAUAGAUACCCGAUAUAACUAUCACAAUUGCGUUGUGAUUCAUCGGUAUAGUUAGAUCCUGAACUUGUUGCAUGAUAUAGCACCUAGUGACGUCUGUCCUAUGUAUAUGUAAGCAUACUCACGUAAGUGUAAUAUGUAAUUGUACUCAUGUAAGUGUAAUCAUGUAAACAUAUCUAUGUAAUAGUAUAGUAAUGUACUAUAAUGUUCUACGUGUGCUAGCUGUAAUGUGUGUUCUCUCUCUAUCUAGCAUGUAUAGUAAUGUACUGUGUGUACUAGCUGUAAUGUGUGUUCUCUCUCUAUCUAGCAAGUAUUGACUCAUGAAUAAACUGACUCAUUGUAUGAUAUUGUGUUCUAGUAAUGGUUAUAGUAUCUUCCUAAACUACCCAUAUGGUAGCUUACUAGUAAUAUAACUGGUACAUAUGAACAUGGAUGUAUACCCUUGCUACCCAAGGGCAUUGGAUGAACUGGAAGGACCUUUAUGACUAUAUAUGUACAUAUGAUAUAUAACUAAUAUUUAAACAACCUUCGGACGGAUACCCGAUGUCCCACCAGACCACAUCUCAAGCGCGAAAAGGAAAUAGGGUGGAUAGCCUUCCUAAUUCUUUUAAACAUUUCUUUUAUAACUAUACAUAUAGAGGCAUGCAAUUUAUAAUAUAAAAGCAGAAAAUAAGUUUUGCAAAACCUUUGAUCAUAAUUAUUAUCUAAGAAAAGAUCGACUUAAUCUUAAUCUAUAAAAUGGUUUUAAAGCAUGGGUUUGAUAAAACAGUUUAAGUAUAAGGAAAUAUUUGUUUGAAACACAAUUGUAAAUGAGUUUGAAAGGAACAUACAGAGUAAAAUGUAUAGUUUAAUAAGGAGUUUUAAACUUAAUAAGUGUUUACGAUAAACAUUUGAAGGAAACUGUUUGGUAAAACGGCUAAUGAGUAGCCAAUCAUUUGAAUGUUGUUUAUUAAUCACAAGUGAUUGAUAUAACAACUACCAUGAUUCAACUUGUAUUCCCCCCCACCCCAUAAAGCAUUUGAAAACAUUUAGAAACAUUUACAAGAUUAAUUUAGGGGUAUGAACUCACCUGCAGUGAGUGGAUCAGAUGGAAGUGUCGGAGAAGUGUUUGGUGUCAAGUGANAUGAUCCUAAUUACAUAUGAAGACAUAUGUAUAUAAAUAAUUAGUGAUUUAAAACACUAAUUAACCAUGUAUAAAUAUCCUAAUGCGCGGAAAACACUUUGGUCAAGUGUUAGGAGGCUAUCGGGUUGCAACAAGAGAGUGCAAGACCUUAU
RNAcentral lists this long non-coding RNA (8311 nucleotides) under Lactuca sativa (garden lettuce). Its description in RNAcentral is "long non-coding RNA (LSAT_LNC005320)". The record is from RNAcentral. Lineage: Eukaryota; Viridiplantae; Streptophyta; Magnoliopsida; Asterales; Asteraceae.